RNAcentral lists this ribosomal RNA (119 nucleotides) under Nicotiana attenuata. Lineage: Eukaryota; Viridiplantae; Streptophyta; Magnoliopsida; Solanales; Solanaceae. The record is from RNAcentral.
GGAUGCGAUCAUACCAGCACUAACGCACCGGAUCCCAUCAGAACUCCGAAGUUAAGCGUGCUCGGGCGAGAGUAGUACUAGGAUGGGUGACCCCCUGGGAAGUCCUCGUGUUGCAUCCC